Molecule: long non-coding RNA, 527 nt
Filed under: Salmo salar (Atlantic salmon)
Lineage: Eukaryota; Metazoa; Chordata; Actinopteri; Salmoniformes; Salmonidae
Description: lncRNA (ENSSSAG00000122208.1)
Source: RNAcentral
UGUGGCUCCAGCAUUCCAUGUUGGCUCUGUGGUUCUGUUUCAUUGAGAUUGGAGGUUAGCUGUUCUAUGGACACAGUCUGGGACUUCCCCUGGACACAGAGGCUGGAGGAGGCGAGAGCGGAGUGAUGAGGAGAACUAGGGAGCUGGAGGAGACGAGAGAGGAGGUGAAGAGGAGAACCAGGGAGCUGGAGGAGACGAGAGAGGAGGUGAGGAGGAGAACCAGGGAGCUGGAGGAGAUGAGAGAGGAGGUGAAGAGGAGAACCAGGGAGCUGGAGGAGACGAGAGAGGAGGUGAGGAGGAGAACCAGGGAGUUGCAGGAGGUGAAAGAAGAGGUGAGGAAGAGAACCAGGGAGCUGGAGGAGACGAGAGAGGAGGUGAAGAGGAGAACCAGGGAGCUGGAGGAGACGAGAGAGGAGGUGAGGAGGAGAACCAGGGAGCUGGAGGAGACGAGAGAGGAGGUGAGGAGGAGAACCAGGGAGCUGGAGGAGACGAGAGAGGAGGUGAGGAGGAGAACCAGGGAGCUGGAG